RNAcentral lists this ribosomal RNA (1428 nucleotides) under Triticum aestivum (bread wheat). Its description in RNAcentral is "partial small subunit ribosomal RNA". Lineage: Eukaryota; Viridiplantae; Streptophyta; Magnoliopsida; Poales; Poaceae. The record is from RNAcentral.
AUGGCGCUCCUCCGCCUCCAGCACCACUGCUCCCUCCUCCAAGUCUCCACCUCCCACCUCCCAACCCUCCUCAGACCCCCGCGGAACCCUCGCAGGAGCCAACUCUCGCCGCCCAAUGCGGCCAGGACCACCUCCUCCUCCGUAACUCCCUCCCCCGCCGCGCGAAUCUUGGCGCGGAAUGCGGCGGCGCCGCCCUGGCGGGGCGAGCUCCUGCUCCUCCUCCCCGCGGCCGCCGCGUCCUGGCCGCUCCACUCCCUCGCGGCCGAGGCCGACGGCGGCGGCGGGAGCAAGGUGAGCCUCGAGUCCAUCGUGCUGGCCGUGGACGACUUCAACAACCGGAACCCCUUCUUCGUGGCCGGGGUGGUGUUCGUCUGGCUGGUGGUGCUCCCGCUGGCGCAGGACUACUUCAAGAAGUACAAGGCCGUGGGCGCCCUCGACGCCUUCCGCAAGCUCCGCGACGCGCCGGAGGCGCAGCUGCUGGACGUCAGGCGGGGCAACAGCGUGCGGUUCAUGGCGCCGCCCAACCUCAGGCUCGUCGAGAAGAGCGCCGUGCAGGUGGAGUUCGACGAGGAGGACGAGAAGGGGUUCCUCGGGGAGGUGCUCGCCAGGUUCCCGGACCCGGCCAACACCGUCGUCUGCGUGCUUGACAACUUUGAUGGUAAUUCAAUGAAAGUGGCUGAGCUCCUGUUCAACAAUGGUUUCAAAGAGGCAUAUGCAAUCAAAGGGGGACUGAGAGGCCCAGAUGGUUGGCAGGCAAUUCAAGAAAACUAUCUUCCGCCAUCUGUUCAUGUUUUUCCAAGGGAAAAGAAGAGCAAAACUUUAACGCACACUGAUGCGAGCACUGAAGGAACAGAUGAUCAGCCAGAGGGGAAUGGAGAACUAUUAACUUCUCCUAGCAGCACUUUAGUCAAUACAAGCAAUGGAACCAAGGAUGGUCAUGAAGAACUGAAUGGAAAUACUUUAGCCGCGAAGCAUCCAAGGAGACCAUUAUCACCUUAUGCAAAGUACCCUGACUUGAAACCGCCAUCAUCUCCGACGCCAUCCAAGCCAGGGAGGGCAGAGGGGAAUGGGGAACUACCAACUUCUACUGGCAGCUCUUUAAUCAAAACAAGCGAUGCAACUAAGGAUAGUCUAGCCACGAAGCAAUCAGGAAGGAGACCAUUAUCACCAUAUGCAAAUUACCCUGACUUGAAACCGCCCUCAUCUCCAACGCCAUCCAAGCCAGGCAGGCCAGAUGAGAAUAAUGAACUACUAAUGUCUCCUGGCAGCUCUUUAGACGAUACAAGCCAUGCAACCAAGAAUGGUCGUGAAGAACUGAAUGGAAGUACUUUAGCCACGAAGCAUCCAAGGAGACCAUUAUCACCAUAUGCAAAUUACCCUGACAUGAAGCCGCCAUCAUCUCCGACGCCAUCCAAGCCAGGGAGGUAG